RNAcentral lists this ribosomal RNA (392 nucleotides) under uncultured bacterium. RNAcentral describes it as "bacterial SSU rRNA". It matches the Rfam family "Bacterial small subunit ribosomal RNA", at positions 28 to 420 of the family's 1533-position model. The record is from RNAcentral.
GACGAACGCUGGCGGCGUGCUUAACACAUGCAAGUCGAGCGGUAAGGCCCUUUCGGGGGUACACGAGCGGCGAACGGGUGAGUAACACGUGGGUGACCUGCCCUCAGCUCUGGGAUAAGCCUGGGAAACCGGGUCUAAUACUGGAUAUGACUCCAUGACGCAUGUUGUGGGGUGGAAAGCCUUGUGCGGCUGAGGAUGGGCCCGCGGCCUAUCAGCUUGUUGGUGGGGUGAUGGCCUACCAAGGCGACGACGGGUAGCCGGCCUGAGAGGGCGACCGGCCACACUGGGACUGAGACACGGCCCAGACUCCUACGGGAGGGCAGCAGUGGGGAAUCUUGCGCAAUGGGCGAAAGCCUGACGCAGCGACGCCGCGUGAGGGAUGACGGCCUCGG